UUUAUUCUAUUAAAAGAUUUUCUGGUCUGAUUUGAUGUUUUUAAUCCUCAGCUUAGGGCUUGUCAUAAACUUACUGGAAAGCUGAAGAGGGAAAUUAUUCUAGGUUCAUCAAGUCUUGAUGAUCCUGCCCAAUUUAUUACGAAACUGAAGAUGAUGACCACACAUGAACUCUCACUGGAUGAUAUCCAGAUAUGAUGUCAUAUAUGAUGUUAUGGACUCGGAAACGAGCUUCAGAUAUGAUGUCUCUGUUGUAAAUUGUAAUAUAAUGUAAUCUUCUUGAUAUUGGAUAUUCUUUGGCAUUCGGCUUCUUGUGUUUCAGCCGAGUAACUGAAUGCAGACAGUAAAAAUAUACUCAGGAAAAUCUUAAUUGUUUACUAACCAAAAUAGUUGAAAUAAAUAAAUGAUUUAUGAACCGGAUCGUUCUGGUUUGAAACUA
This is a long non-coding RNA of Arachis duranensis, 436 nucleotides long. RefSeq lists it as uncharacterized. Lineage: Eukaryota; Viridiplantae; Streptophyta; Magnoliopsida; Fabales; Fabaceae. The record is from RefSeq and is a predicted model, not a curated record. The transcript is spliced from 2 exons.